RNAcentral lists this ribosomal RNA (427 nucleotides) under uncultured bacterium. RNAcentral's name for it is "bacterial SSU rRNA". It matches the Rfam family "Bacterial small subunit ribosomal RNA", at positions 357 to 776 of the family's 1533-position model. The record is from RNAcentral.
GGGAAUAUUGGACAAUGGGCGCAAGCCUGAUCCAGCCAUACCGCGUGGGUGAAGAAGGCCUUCGGGUUGUAAAGCCCUUUUGUUGGGAAAGAAAUCCAGCUGGUUAAUACCCGGUUGGGAUGACGGUACCCAAAGAAUACGCACCGGCUAACUUCGUGCCAGCAGCCGCGGUAAUACGAAGGGUGCAAGCGUUACUCGGAAUUACUGGGAGUAAAGCGUGCGUAGGUGGUCGUUUAAGUCUGUUGUGAAAGCCCUGGGCUCAACCUGGGAACUGCAGUGGAAACUGGACGACUAGAGUGUGGUAGAGGGUAGCGGAAUUCCUGGUGUAGCAGUGAAAUGCGUAGAGAUCAGGAGGAACAUCCAUGGCGAAGGCAGCUACCUGGACCAACACUGACACUGAGGCACGAAAGCGUGGGGAGCAAACAGG